UACGUAGGCAGCGAGCGUUGUUCGGAGUUACUGGGCGUAAAGGGUGUGUAGGCGGUUGUUUAAGUUUGGUGUGAAAUCUCCCGGCUCAACUGGGAGGGUGCGCCGAAUACUGAAUGACUAGAGUGCGGGAGAGGAAAGUGGAAUUCCUGGUGUAGCGGUGAAAUGCGUAGAUAUCAGGAGGAACACCUGUGGCGAAAGCGGCUCACUGGACCAUAACUGACGCUGAUGCACGAAAGCUAGGGGAGCAAACAGG
Molecule: ribosomal RNA, 253 nt
Filed under: uncultured bacterium
Lineage: Bacteria
Description: partial 16S ribosomal RNA
Rfam family: Bacterial small subunit ribosomal RNA
Source: RNAcentral